Molecule: ribosomal RNA, 425 nt
Filed under: uncultured bacterium
Lineage: Bacteria
Description: partial 16S ribosomal RNA
Rfam family: Bacterial small subunit ribosomal RNA
Source: RNAcentral
GUGGGGAAUAUUGGGCAAUGGGCGAAAGCCUGACCCAGCAACGCCGCGUGAAGGAAGAAGGUUUUCGGAUCGUAAACUUCUAUCCUUGGUGAAGAUAAUGACGGUAGCCAAGAAGGAAGCCCCGGCUAACUACGUGCCAGCAGCCGCGGUAAUACGUAGGGGGCAAGCGUUGUCCGGAAUGAUUGGGCGUAAAGGGCGCGUAGGCGGCCUGGUAAGUCUGGAGUGAAAGUCCUGCUUUUAAGGUGGGAAUUGCUUUGGAUACUGUCGGGCGUGAGUGCAGGAGAGGUAAGUGGAAUUCCCGGUGUAGCGGUGAAAUGCGUAGAGAUCGGGAGGAACACCAGUGGCGAAGGCGACUUACUGGACUGUAACUGACGCUGAGGCGCGAAAGUGUGGGGAGCAAACAGGAUUAGAAACCCUGGUAGUCC